GCUCAAAUUUGGAAUCUCUGCCUAGCAGCGAAUUGUAGUUUAGAGAUGCGUUUUCGGUUGCAGACGACGUACAAGUUCUUUGGAACGAGACAUCAUAGAGGGUGAGAAUCCCGUCCAUGACGUUGUUGCGCAGCCAUGUGAUACGUACUCAAAGAGUCGGUUUGUUUGGGAAUGCAGACCAAAAUGGGUGGUAAAUACCAUCUAAGGCUAAAUAUUGGCGAGAGACCGAUAGCGAACAAGUACCGUGAGGGAAAGAUGAAAAGAACUUUGAAAAGAGAGUUAAACAGUACGUGAAAUUGUCAAAAGGGAAACGCUUGAAACCAGUAUUGCACGGGGGGGUAUCUGGUUGCACGACCAGUGUUAUCCAUCAGGCGAGUCAACAUGACUUUGGUCUGGGUGAAAAUGCUUGGUGAAUGUAGCCCUCCGGGGUGUUUAGCACCAAGAGAUAGCCUGGGCUGGAGUGAGGACUGCAGCGUCUUUGGCGAUCCCGUCUCCUUUGAAAGUGAAUGGCAAGACUGCAUGCAGAUUUGUACUUCAUGUAGGAGCUGGCGGAGUUAGCACACUAGCGCUUAGGAUGUUGACGAAAUGGUUUUAAUCGACCCGUCUUGAAACACGGACCAAGGAGUCUAACAUGUAUGCGAGUAUUUGGGUGGCAAACCCUUGUGCGCAAUGAAAGUGAGAAGGUGUGAUCAACAUCGACCGCGCUCUUCUUUUUGAGGUGGCGUGAGUAUGAGCAUACAUGCUAGGACCCGAAAGAUGGUGAACUAUGCCUGAAUAGGGUGAAGUCAGAGG
This 792-nucleotide ribosomal RNA is filed under the name Chytridiomycota sp. LTSD6_2 PML-2011n. RNAcentral describes it as "eukaryotic LSU rRNA". It matches the Rfam family "Eukaryotic large subunit ribosomal RNA", at positions 107 to 858 of the family's 3401-position model. The record is from RNAcentral. Lineage: Eukaryota; Fungi; Chytridiomycota.